AUGAACGCUGGCGGCGUGCCUAAUACAUGCAAGUCGAGCGAACGGACGAGAAGCUUGCUUCUCUGAUGUUAGCGGCGGACGGGUGAGUAACACGUGGAUAACCUACCUAUAAGACUGGGAUAACUUCGGGAAACCGGAGCUAAUACCGGAUAAUAUUUUGAACCGCAUGGUCCAAAAGUGAAAGACGGUCUUGCUGUCACUUAUAGAUGGAUCCGCGCUGCAUUAGCUAGUUGGUAAGGUAACGGCUUACCAAGGCAACGAUGCAUAGCCGACCUGAGAGGGUGAUCGGCCACACUGGAACUGAGACACGGUCCAGACUCCUACGGGAGGCAGCAGUAGGGAAUCUUCCGCAAUGGGCGAAAGUCUGCCGGAGCAACGCCGCGUGAGUGAUGAAGGUCUUCGGAUCGUAAAACUCUGUUAUUAGGGAAGAACAUAUGUGUAAGUAACUGUGCACAUCUUGACGGUACCUAAUCAGAAAGCCACGGCUAACUACGUG
RNAcentral lists this ribosomal RNA (496 nucleotides) under uncultured bacterium. Its description in RNAcentral is "partial 16S ribosomal RNA". It matches the Rfam family "Bacterial small subunit ribosomal RNA", at positions 29 to 507 of the family's 1533-position model. The record is from RNAcentral.